GCAAACUUGGUCAUUUAGAGGAAGUAAAAGUCGUAACAAGGUUUCCGUAGGUGAACCUGCGGAAGGAUCAUUAUUGAAAUGAAAAAAAAUUGAAUUGGAGUUGCUGAUUCUUUUAAGAGUUAUGCACACUUCCAUUCAUUUUCUCCAACCACCUGUGCAUCUUUUGUAAACCUGAAUUUCUUUCUUUCAAGUUUAGACACUUGGUUUUGAAAAGUAGCGUCUGCAGCUUUUCUUGUGGGCGGGGGUUCAGGUUUAUGUUGCUUUCAUACACACAUUUUAGUAUUUAUAUCAGAAUGUUGAAAUUUAAAUGAACUUUAAACAACUUUCAACAACGGAUCUCUUGGCUCUCGCAUCGAUGAAGAACGCAGC
This 369-nucleotide unclassified non-coding RNA is filed under the name uncultured fungus. RNAcentral's name for it is "partial contains small subunit ribosomal RNA, internal transcribed spacer 1, and 5.8S ribosomal RNA". The stretch from base 1 to 73 matches the Rfam family "Eukaryotic small subunit ribosomal RNA", at positions 1759 to 1831 of the family's 1831-position model. The record is from RNAcentral. Lineage: Eukaryota; Fungi.